Molecule: ribosomal RNA, 261 nt
Filed under: uncultured bacterium
Lineage: Bacteria
Description: partial 16S ribosomal RNA
Rfam family: Bacterial small subunit ribosomal RNA
Source: RNAcentral
AGCGAACGCUGGCGGCAGGCUUAACACAUGCAAGUCGAACGGGCACCUUCGGGUGUCAGUGGCAGACGGGUGAGUAACACGUGGGAACGUACCCUUCAGUUCGGAACAACCCAGGGAAACUUGGGCUAAUACCGGAUACGCCCUUCGGGAAAGAUUAUCGCUGAGGAUCGGCCCGCGUCUGAUUAGCUAGUUGGUAGGGUAACGGCCUACCAAGGCGACGAUCAGUAGCUGGUCUGAGAGGAUGAUCAGCCACACUGGGAC